RNAcentral lists this ribosomal RNA (508 nucleotides) under uncultured bacterium. RNAcentral's name for it is "partial 16S ribosomal RNA". It matches the Rfam family "Bacterial small subunit ribosomal RNA", at positions 30 to 523 of the family's 1533-position model. The record is from RNAcentral.
AUUGAACGCUGGCGGCAUGCCUUACACAUGCAAGUCGAACGGCAGCGGGGGAGAAGCUUGCUUUUCCUGCCGGCGAGUGGCGAACGGGUGAGUAAUACAUCGGAACGUACCCAGAAGUGGGGGAUAACGUAGCGAAAGUUACGCUAAUACAGUAUAUUCUGUGAGCAGGAUAGUGGGGGAUCGCAAGACUGCACGCUUGUGGAGCGGCUGAUGUCGGAUUAGCUAGUUGGUGAGGUAAAGGCUCACCAAGGCGACGAUCCGUAGCGGGUCCGAGAGGAUGAUCCGCCACACUGGGACUGAGACACGGCCCAGACUCCUACGGGAGGCAGCAGUGGGGAAUUUUGGACAAUGGGGGCAACCCUGAUCCAGCCAUGCCGCGUGAGUGAAGAAGGCCUUCGGGUUGUAAAGCUCUUUCGCGAGGGAAGAAAGCGCACUGGUUAAUACCUGGUGUGGAUGACGGUACCUUGAUAAGAAGCACCGGCUAACUACGUGCCAGCCGCCGCGGUAA